This 294-nucleotide ribosomal RNA is filed under the name uncultured bacterium. Its description in RNAcentral is "partial 16S ribosomal RNA". It matches the Rfam family "Bacterial small subunit ribosomal RNA", at positions 27 to 297 of the family's 1533-position model. The record is from RNAcentral.
GAUGAAACGCUGGCGGCGUGCUUAACACAUGCAAGUCGAGCGAAGCGCUUUUGCGGAUUUCUUCGGAUUGAAGCAAAUUGUGACUGAGCGGCGGACGGGUGAGUAACGCGUGGGUAACCUGCCUCAUACAGGGGAUAAACAGUUGGAAAACGGCUGCUAAUACCGCAUAAAGCGCACAGUACCGCAUGGUAACGGUGUGAAAAAACUCCCGGUGGUAUGAGAUGGACCCGCGUCUGAUUAGGUAGUUGGUGGGGUAACGGCCUACCAAGCCGACGAUCAGUAGCCGACCUGAGA